Long non-coding RNA from Parus major (Great Tit), 696 nucleotides. RefSeq lists it as uncharacterized. The record is from RefSeq and is a predicted model, not a curated record. NCBI's taxonomy places the organism in Eukaryota, Metazoa, Chordata, Aves, Passeriformes, Paridae. The transcript has 2 exons.
ACAAGAAAAUGAAAAAAAUAAAAAAAAUAAACAAGUAAACAAAGUAAAUAAAGAAGAAGAAGAAAGAAACAAUGCCAUAACAUUUCCUCUACCCCAAUUUUAGUUGUCCUUUAUUUACUGGAUCAUAACUAAAUAUUCAGGAAAGUCAUUCUAUCUCUUUUUUCCUUUCUGUAAUUGGAUAUUUUCUUUUUGAGGAAUAACUACAGCUUGAAAAUAUUGCUCCUUCCAGAGCCACAAUGAGGAGAGGAAAUGCUGGGUGUUCAUUGCGAAAUCUGAUUUAUGGAAUUUAAGGCCAAGUUUCCAUCAGGAAAAACAGAAUUGAUUCAUUUAUUUCUGCUGAUAUUUAAAAUUUUCCACACAUUUCUUCUGCACAACAUCUCAGGGAUUCAGACCCAAAGGAAAAGAAGGAAUAUUUGGGGGUUAAACCCCAAAUUGACACCAGAGUUGGGCCACUUCAGUCACAUCCUGGGCUUUUAGGAACGGAGCUGGGGCAGAGGAGCAGCCCUGAAUUCCUGCUGGGAGCCUGAGGAUGCAGCUGGACCCUGGAUCCUGCCCUGGGGACACUCAGGGAUCCUUCAGCUGAUGUUUCCCACCUGCUCAAAACUCUGCUGCUCCUCAGGGAGCUCAGAAUUGUCUAAAAAAGACAAAAAAAUGCUGAUUUCCUUAUUUAGAUAGCUCAGAAUUGUCUAAAAAGGA